UAAUGGAAUAAAGGACGCAUGGA
This 23-nucleotide non-coding RNA is filed under the name Cricetulus griseus (Chinese hamster). Lineage: Eukaryota; Metazoa; Chordata; Mammalia; Rodentia; Cricetidae. The record is from RNAcentral.